This is a non-coding RNA of Aedes aegypti (yellow fever mosquito), 72 nucleotides long. The record is from Rfam. Lineage: Eukaryota; Metazoa; Arthropoda; Insecta; Diptera; Culicidae.
GGCUCGGUAGCUUAGUUGGUAAAGCGCUCGUCUAGCAUACAAGAGUUCUGGGUUCGAAUCCCAGCCGAGCAC